Molecule: ribosomal RNA, 1456 nt
Filed under: uncultured prokaryote
Description: partial 16S ribosomal RNA
Rfam family: Bacterial small subunit ribosomal RNA
Source: RNAcentral
CCAUGCAAGUCGAGCGAACGAUAGUAGCUUGCUACUAGGCGUCGAGCGGCGGACGGGGGAGUAAUGCUUGGGUAUCUGCCUUAUCGUGGGGGACAACAGCUGGAAACGGCUGCUAAUACCGCAUAAUAUCUACGGAUCAAAUGUGGCCUCUUCUUGAAAGCUUGCGUUAGGAUGAACCCAAGUGGGAUUAGCUAGUUGGUGAGGUAAUGGCUCACCAAGGCGACGAUCCCUAGCUGGUCUGAGAGGAUGAUCAGCCACACUGGAACUGAGACACGGUCCAGACUCCUACGGGAGGCAGCAGUGGGGAAUAUUGCACAAUGGGCGAAAGCCUGAUGCAGCCAUGCCGCGUGUGUGAAGAAGGCUUUCGGGUUGUAAAGCACUUUCAGUAGGGAGGAAGGCGUUGUAGUUAAUACCUGCAACGAUUGACGUUACCUACAGAAGAAGCACCGGCUAACUCCGUGCCAGCAGCCGCGGUAAUACGGAGGGUGCAAGCGUUAAUCGGAAUUACUGGGCGUAAAGCGCGCGUAGGCGGUUUGUUAAGUUGGGUGUGAAAUCCCCGGGCUUAACCUGGGAACUGCAUUCAAAACUGUCUCACUAGAGUACGAUAGAGGGGGGUAGAAUUUCAGGUGUAGCGGUGAAAUGCGUAGAGAUCUGAAGGAAUACCGGUGGCGAAGGCGGCCCCCUGGAUUGAUACUGACACUGAGGUGCGAAAGCGUGGGUAGCAAACAGGAUUAGAUACCCUGGUAGUCCACGCCGUAAACGAUGUCAACUAGCUGUUGGAGGACUUGAUCCUUUAGUGGCGCAGCUAACGCGUUAAGUUGACCGCCUGGGGAGUACGGCCGUAAGGUUAAAACUCAAAUGAAUUGACGGGGGCCCGCACAAGCGGUGGAGCAUGUGGUUUAAUUCGACGCAACGCGAAGAACCUUACCUACUCUUGACAUCCUCAGAACUUAGCAGAGAUGCUUUGGUGCCUUUGGGAACUGAGUGACAGGUGCUGUAUGGCUGUCGUCAGCUCGUGUUGUGAAAUGUUGGGUUAAGUCCCGUAACGAGCGUAACCCUUGUCCUUAUUUGCCAGCACGUAAUGGUGGGAACUUUAAGGAGACUGCCGGUGAUAAACCGGAGGAAGGUGGGGACGACGUUAAGUCAUUAUGGCCCUUAUGAGUAGGGCUACACACGUGCUACAAUGGCCGGUACAGAGGGCAGCAAGACCGCGAGGUGGAGCAAAUCCCAGAAAGUAUCUCGUAGUCCGGAUUGGAGUCUGCAACUCGACUCCAUGAAGUCGGAAUCGCUAGUAAUCGUAGAUCAGAAUGCUACGGUGAAUACGUUCCCGGGCCUUGUACACACCGCCCGUCACACCAUGGGAGUGGGUUGCAAAAGAAGUAAGUAGCUUAACCUUCGGGAGGGCGCUUACCACUUUGUGAUUCAUGACUGGGGUGAAGUCGUAACAAGGUAACCA